Platichthys flesus (European flounder) is the source of this 1441-nucleotide long non-coding RNA. RefSeq lists it as uncharacterized. The transcript has 2 exons. The record is from RefSeq and is a predicted model, not a curated record. Lineage: Eukaryota; Metazoa; Chordata; Actinopteri; Pleuronectiformes; Pleuronectidae.
UAAAUUUCCACUGCUAUGCGGAUGACACCCAGUUAUAUUUGUCAAUAAAACCUGAACAAAGUAAUCAAUUAACUAAACUUCGAACAUGUCUCAAGGACAUAAAAACCUGGAUGACCCGCAAUUUUCUCUUAUUAAACUCAGACAAAACAGAGGUUAUAAUACUUGGCCCCAAACACCUUAGAGAUGCAUUAUCUAAUGAUAUAGCUGCGCUAGACGACAUUGCCCUUGCUUCAAAUGAAACAGUCAGGAACUUGGGAGUGAUCUUCGAUCCUGAUUUAUCCUUUAAUAGUCACUUAAAACAAAUUUCUAGGACCGCUUUUUUCCACUUGCGUAAUAUUUCAAAAAUUAGACAUGUCCUUUCACAAAAAUAUGCAGAAAAACUAGUCCACGCCUUUGUUACAUCGAGACUGGACUAUUGUAAUUCAUUAUUAUCAGGCUCCAGCAGGAAGUCGUUAAAGACUCUACAGCUUGUCCAAAAUGCUGCAGCACGUGUCCUGACGAGAACAAAGAGAAGAGAGCACAUUUCUCCAAUAUUAGCAUCGCUACACUGGCUUCCAGUUAAAUCUAGAAUAGAAUUUAAAAUUCUCCUCCUCACCUUCAAGGCCCUUAAUAAUAUAGCGCCUUUAUACCUUAAAGAGCUGUUAAUACCUUAUAAACCCACUAGAGCACUCCGCUCCCAGAAUUCAAGCCUACUUGUCGUCCCUAAAUUCUCUAAAAGUAGAGUAGGAGCCAGAGCUUUUAGCCAUCAAGCCCCUCGGCUGUGGAAUAAUCUACCACUUUCAGUUCGGGAGGCAGUCACCAUCUGUUCGUUUAAAACUUCUCCUUCCUCUUCUCCAUCCCUAUCCCCCUUCCCCGGAAUCCCUUUGCUUUAUCACCCGCAGAUCCAGGGCCUCUGUGGCCGCACCAUGGAUUACGGUUUGUGGAUCGCGCACCGGGGGUCGCGGUGUUGGAUCCAGUGUGGCGGAUUCUGAGUCAUGUGGGCUGAUUGUGGUGCUGGUGGCGGACCCUGUGUCGCGUUGGCAUUGGGCACGGGCGGUGGACCAGGACCGCAGUGGUGGCUUGUGAUGGGUCCUCCUGGUGGGCGGCGGUGGACGGUGACUGAGGACUGAAGUGGCGUCUGGUCUGGAUGGUGGAUCGUGGUCUAGAUGGUUGCUGAGCAUGGACUGUGCUUCAUCAAUGCUGCUAGAGACUUUGAUUAUUGAUGAUGUUCUCCUGCACGUGGCAUCUAUUGCACUUCUGUCCGUCCUGGGAGAGGGAUCCCUCACAUGUGGCUCUCUCUGAGGUUUCUACAUAUUUUUACCCUGUUAAAAGGGUUUUUUGUAGUUUUUCCUUACUCUUGCUGAGGGUUAAGGACAGAGGAUGUCACACCCUGUUAAAGCCCUAUGAGAUGAAUUGUAAUUUGUGAAUAUGGGCUAUACAAAUAAAAUUUGAUUUGAUUGAU